RNAcentral lists this ribosomal RNA (454 nucleotides) under uncultured bacterium. Its description in RNAcentral is "bacterial SSU rRNA". It matches the Rfam family "Bacterial small subunit ribosomal RNA", at positions 775 to 1220 of the family's 1533-position model. The record is from RNAcentral.
AGAAAAUAGAUACCCGGGUAGUCCACGCCCUAAACGAUGCAUAUUUGGUGUGGGUCAUUCAGUUGAUCCGUGCCGGAGCUAAACGCGUUAAAUAUGCCGCCUGGGGAGUACAGUCGCAAGGCUGAAACUCAAAGGAAUUGACGGGGGCCGGCACAAGCGGUGGAGCAUGUGGUUCAAUUCGUACGCAACGCGAAGAACCUUACCUGGGCGUCGAACGGGUAGUCAACGGCGGUGGAAACAUCGCUACCCCGCCAAGGGGGUCGUAUUCGAGGUGCUGCAUGGCUGUCGUCAGCUCGUGUCGUGAGAUGUUGGGUUAAGUCCCGCAACGAGCGCAACCCUUGUCCUGUGUUGCCAUCAUUCAGUUGGGGUAACUCGCAGGAGACCGCCAGCGAUAAGCUGGAGGAAGGUGGGGAUGACGUCAAGUCCUCAUGGCCUUUAUGUCCAGGGCUACACA